Molecule: long non-coding RNA, 333 nt
Organism: Dromaius novaehollandiae (emu)
Lineage: Eukaryota; Metazoa; Chordata; Aves; Casuariiformes; Dromaiidae
Exons: 2
Source: RefSeq, a predicted model, not a curated record
GCGGCUGGGCCCCGCCCCCGCCCGCGGCGCUCGCUCCGGGCAGCGGAGCCCGGUUCCGCUCGGUUCCACCCGACUUCAGCCCGGUUCGGCUCGGCCCGGCUCGGUUCUGCCCGACUUCGGUCCGGCUCGGAUCGGCUCGGCCCGGCCCAGCCCGGCUCGGUUCGGUUCGCCCCGCCGCGCUCCGGAGGCAGGCUGCCGGCACUCGUGUGACGCACGGCGUCUCCCGGCCCGCGCGGCGCGAGGACGUGAACUUUAGUCUCCGAGCAAUUAAGGUGCCUGAAACUGCACUUCAUUAAUGGUUGUUAUGCAAUAAAAGCGAUAAAACUGCCCUUA